Molecule: microRNA precursor, 209 nt
Filed under: Oryza sativa Japonica Group (Japanese rice)
Lineage: Eukaryota; Viridiplantae; Streptophyta; Magnoliopsida; Poales; Poaceae
Description: MIR812 microRNA precursor family
Rfam family: MIR812 microRNA precursor family
Source: Rfam by way of RNAcentral
AAUAAGUGCAGUUUUGCACUAUUCACGUUCAACGUUUGACUGUCCGUCUUAUUUGAAAAAUUUAUGAAAAAAUUAAAAACAUUUAGUCACACAUAAAAUACUAUUCAUGUUUUAUCAUCUAAUAGCAAUAAAAAUACUAAUCAUAAAAAAAUUUCAAAUAAGACGGACGGUCAAACGUUGAACGUGAAUAGUGCAAAACUGCACUUAUU